This is a long non-coding RNA of Asterias rubens (European starfish), 867 nucleotides long. RefSeq lists it as uncharacterized. Lineage: Eukaryota; Metazoa; Echinodermata; Asteroidea; Forcipulatida; Asteriidae. The transcript has 3 exons. The record is from RefSeq and is a predicted model, not a curated record.
CAAUAUUAACAAUCGUUUUUUUCCCCAGCAAUAUUAACAAUCGUUUUUUCCCCAGCAACAAUAUUUUUUUCCAGCAUUAACAAUCGUUUUUUCCCAGCAGCCCCUAUGAACAAUUUCCCCACAAUAACUUUUUACUUGUUUUUGUUUUCCACAGUCUGUUCUACAGUAGAUGCUAGCGACGGUACACUGGAACUCAUGGGUUGCUAGGUGACAGGUAUAGGGUGUUAAGGUAGUCUAAUAAUACAUCCAAGUUUGACUUGAUGUUAUCACAAAUAAUAACCUUUGUUUAGAACUUUUCUUCCAAGUAUGCAGAUUGUGUUCCCUCUGAAGAUGAUGAGCUAGUUAAUGUGAACUGACAACUUCUUCAAGCAGGACUAAGUUGGAUGUCCCUGGCGAGUGAGCAGAUGUCAAUUAUGUUUCUUCUGAAGUUGAUGAAGUAGUCUUGACUGAAGUCUCCAUCCGAGAUGAUCUACCAGCAAAGAAUGAGACCGUACUUGUAUCGAGGCAUUCUCUUUGAUGUCGAGGCUAACACUGAUGAGAGGAAGGAUUUGAUGGGCUGACCUGUUUUGUACUCCAGACACUCGGCAACCACCCGAUGACGAAGGACUUGCUCAAGUUUAGCCAUGUACUCAACAACGAGGAACUUGUACACAAGUCCACUCCAGGAGGGAUCGUCUAGAUAGUUUUAUGUUUACUCAAUAGUCUUUAAAGACACUGGACACAUUUGGUAACUCUCAAAGAUCAGUAUUUUUGCUUGUUUUUCCCAACAUUAUGCUUAAAAAAGUCUGCGAUAAUUUUUACUCAAUUGGUCAUCAAAGUUGCAGGCCAAUAAUGAAAUAAUCCAUGUUGCACAAACGUGUGUACUUU